AUUGAACGCUGGCGGCAUGCCUUACACAUGCAAGUCGAACGGCAGCACGGGGCAACCUGGUGGCGAGUGGCGAACGGGUGAGUAAUGCAUCGGAACGUGCCAUUGAGUGGGGGAUAACGUAGCGAAAGUUGCGCUAAUACCGCAUAUUCUGUGAGCAGGAAAGCAGGGGACCGCAAGGCCUUGCGCUCUUUGAGCGGCCGAUGUCAGAUUAGCUAGUUGGUGAGGUAACGGCUUACCAAGGCGACGAUCUGUAGCGGGUCUGAGAGGAUGAUCCGCCACACUGGAACUGAGACACGGUCCAGACUCCUACGGAGGCAGCAGUGGGGAAUUUUGGACAAUGGGCGCAAGCCUGAUCCAGCCAUGCCGCGUGAGUGAAGAAGGCCUCGGUUGUAAG
This 394-nucleotide ribosomal RNA is filed under the name uncultured bacterium. RNAcentral describes it as "bacterial SSU rRNA". It matches the Rfam family "Bacterial small subunit ribosomal RNA", at positions 30 to 429 of the family's 1533-position model. The record is from RNAcentral.